GCUGAAAAGAACAAUAAACUGCCUUUCAAUUUUCACGGCCGCCAUUUUGACGAGUCACCGAGACGCAAGCCUGAGGAAGAAGAUGCCACUAUCUUCUGUGAACGUGUAAUUUAGAGCAAUUAAGGAGUUCUACCCUUGACCAGAAGAAAUUUGAAAGGUGAAAAAAUAACUAAAACUAACACCUGAUGGUGAAGCAGCAUUUUGUUGUUUGCUAACUGUCAAUAAAAAAUAGGAGGAAGAAGGGGAGACGUUGAAAGAAGAACUUGGACACCUGCGACCGUGUUAGUGGACACUGCAGACAACUAUGCCUUUUAUGACAACAUGGAGGAUGAAAACAUUCUGGCAAAGUCGGUGGAAAAAAGCGCAAAGUGCAAAAAAAGUAAUUUUGGCGCCACUGUGAUUGUUCCGUUAGCUGCCAUAGCAACAGCAGCUAAAGAGCUAAUGGCUAACGGCCAGGUGCACCGAUGGAAGCAUCCAGAACUUCUCCCGGUUUGGAUGGGUCGUCUUACUACGAGGGGAAAGAACAACACCUGCUUUAAGGAAUGGGUGGUUGCCAGUUCGUGAGUCAGACUUUCAUCUGAUUUUGGCCUUAAAUCUCAGCGGGAGAAAGGAGUUCAGCUCUGCGAUGUCCAGUUCUCCUCUUUAGCCCAAUGUACUCCACAACAGUUGGGAUUAAUUAUUCAGCUACAAUUAGCGUGAUGUCAAUAGUAAUUGCCAUCAGUGCCAUGCUCCUCUGACAUCGAGGCAGGCUGUUGUGAGACUUCUAAUGUUAAAAUUGUUUUUUUUCACUCGAGUUACAGUAUUUGUUAAGGCUUGCGUGAACUGUACACACAUGCACACACAUUCAAAUAAACACUCUCACACACAUCAGCUCAACCACACAUCUCCACACCCACCCAGGGGCAGUCAUGCAUGACAGCACUUAAAUAGCUUCCACUAAUACACACAUGCGUAAGCACACAAAAAAUAUACACACAUGUACUUACAUUACAGAAAACUGUUGAACCUAGAUAAGUGUUGCUCAUUUUUCGUUUAAUAUUGUUAAUGUUUAUCAAUAGAAACAUUUUCUGGAUGUUUGCUGACUGUGUGGUAAUUGCCCAGAGUCAACCUUCUGACAAACAAGAGACUGAGAAACUUGCAGUAUGCAUGUUCUAAAACAGGCUGCUGCUUUUAUUGAAAUAGAUUGAAAUUACAUCAAGAAAAUGUCCCCAUUUUGCAUCGUGACAUGACAGCCGUUCAGUGCUGUACAUUUUUUUCUUUAGUUGUUCUGGUCACUUUUUGGAAUUUAAUGUUUGUUCAAGAACAACAAACUGAAGUACAUUAGUACAAAUUUUUACUAUCACUUAUCUGACACAUGAAUGUGCUUUGAAACAUGUAUCCUAUCAUCAUCAUUCAGAGUGAAAGCAUGUGUACACACAAAUAAAGUACACUUAUUCAGAUGUUCAGAAGUUGAUGCAGGUCUUAUAUUCCUCAACCAUACUUUCUUUCGUGAUGCUGUUUUAUGUUGGUUUUGACAAUGUUUCUGCUCUUGCUUCAUUCAUUCAUCUAUUUGUUUAGGCUUUUUUUGCUUCCCUAAAUAGUGUUGUUUUGAAAUUAGUCAUGGAGUGACGGGGCUCACUUCUGUGUAUGCAUUUUCUUUUUUGCUGGUCUUUCCACUGGCAAAUGAUGAGCUCAAGACCUAAAUAAACAUAAAAUAAACACAGUUUUUUCCAACAGACCUUAACAAUUUAAAUCAAGUAAAUUUAAACUUGGAACCAGAUCCUAAACAUCCCUGCUAUACAUAUCUCGAUUCCAGGCGCUAUGGCUGCAGGAAGUUACUGCAGCUUUAUAAAUGAAGUGAUGAUAAUGUUGAAUUUAUUGUACAUUAACUUGGACAAACUGCUGUAGCUUCAGGUCUCUGCAUAACCAACACUACUACAGUAUAUAUGCAUAAUAGAGUGUGUAUUGAAGAUUUGUGGGGUGGUCAGAUAAUGUUUGUGCCUUUUCUGUAUUGGGUGUUGAAACAUUGCACUUUGGGACCAGCAGUAUUGAUGGCGGUGAUAAAGUUGUGUAAUAAUGCUAUAAAGCCAGGGAAGACAAGGAGUUGCAAGAGGAGAUUGGCUCAACAGUGUAACCAGUAAUCAGUCAGUAUGGUGAAAAAUGACAGGGCCAAUGUGAGUGGACAGAAAUGGGGAAUAAAACAUGGGACUGAUGAAGGCUGAACAGACCAGAACGGGAAGAGGGUGGGAGUGAGUAGAGGUGACCUGCUCUUAGAGGGCACAAGCGUGUCGCUUUUUCUUAUUACAACCAAUACGUUUCAAUUUCUCAUGACAACACCACUACUCAUUUGGGGCAACAUCUGUAUUAUAGAGCUUGGUGGAGAGAGGGGAGGUAGGCUUAAUGUCCCAGUGGGUUUUGUAAUAUCUUCCUUAAGGAGGAAGGUCUUUAAAGACUUCUUCUUUUGUACCAGCACUUUUCCUUACCUGCAUCUUGAGAUUAAAUCUAUGCCUUGUUACCAGUUCAUUUUAAGCUGGUGCGAAAAAAAGUUUGGAUUUCGAUACGUUUUGAAUUGUUAUUACAUUUAUAUAAUUUAUAGAAAUUAUUCUUACUUCACUAAAUAAUGCAUUGUCAGAACAUUUACUUCUACAACUAUCAUUUAAUUAUAGUAAACGCUGUAAUUUCUUAGCUAUGAAACUCGGUGUGGGAAAGUAAAUGUAACACUCUACCUGGUGUAAUUAAGUAAAAAGCUACACUGGCUUUUGUCUUUGCUUCAGCUGUAGGCAAUGAACUAAAGCUAAACAUACUAUAAUGACGUUUUAGAUGUCCAACAUACAAAACCCUUCAUUUUAAAAUUGGUAUUAAACAGAGCAAUUUCUUACUUGCAGUUCUCUUUAUUAUCACUGCCCCUGCUGUGAUUGAAUCAGGUAUAUAUCUUGUCUGCAUAAAAUGUGGCUCUAUUAAUGCAAUGAGAAAUCAGAUUUCUAUACAGGUAAAUGUUCAUAAAUUUUUCUUUGGGUGAAUCUGGACCGUUAAGCAAACUUAACAGGCAAUCCAAUUGAAACCACUCUUACUGUGCCCCCCCACCACCCUUUUCUCUCUCUCUCUCUCACACACACACACACACACACACACACACACACACACACACACACACACACACACACACACACACACACACACACACACACACUCUUUAGGUUUUAUGCAGAUAAGACUAAAGGCUUUCCCUCCCAGAGCUGGGCGGGUGCCCAGUAUGCAGGAGUUUAUCUGGCACAAGUGUCCCUCCCUCCAUAUUUCACUUCUCGAUCUACUCUCUUUUUCUGAUAGCUUUAUCACUGCGGAGGGGUCAGAUGCUGACACCAGCAUAAGGGCUGCUUAAAUCGCUCUAAACAACAUCUAUCAUGGACCCUAUAAAAUAAGCUUCAUGGCAUGCACAAUACUGUGGCCUUGUGCUUGGAAAUGCUCGUCUAUCAUAGGGCUGCUUGACUCGAGGAAGCCUUUUUUUGAUGAUAUGUACACGAUUUAGAAGAGUAAGGUUCUGAUUUCGCCUUAAUCAGUCUUUAUGAGUAAUUUUAGGGUACAGACUGUAUGGAAGCUCUAUCACUCAUGAACAGAGGAAGGUAUGGCAUUGUAGAGGUGAUAGAUGGCACUAGCCUACAGUUGUAUUUAUUGAUCAGGAAGAAGCUUGAUUGGCAAACCCUUUUGGAUAGCUAAAAAAUGUCAGUGACUUUACCAGUUUGCAAGUUUCAAAGGCACGACAGGGGGAUAUGAAGGGAUAGGGGCAAAAGGGAGAAAAGGUGAAUUCUAAUUGAUGUUGAUUACAGGAUUAAUAUUAUGACAUGGUGACAGGUUGCUUAUAUGGCUAAGAUAAACUGAAACAAAUGGAAUGGUUGAUGAGAGAGGGAAGAUCAUGUUAUGGGUCUUAACUAAAAGAGUAAAGUUCAAAGUUCAACCAAUUGUAGUAGUAAAAACUGUGCCAGUUCACCCUCAUUUCUCUUUUCACUGCUUUGACUUGUUUAAAGUUAUAAAAAUGGUAGGAUUUCCUGAAUGCAAAGCAGAUGCGAAAAAAGGGGUCUGGAGGAGCCAAAAACGAGAACAAUCAAUGACCCAGAAAAGAAAAAAAUUAUUGUCCAAGCCCAUCACUUAAUUUCUUUAAAAGCCCAUUGAGAAGUCAGAACCGCUCAAUGUGCAUCCACUAAAGUUAACACUCUCUCUGUGCCAUACAAUUUAAUUAUUAGAACAUGAUUCAUUCAGUGAGUGGUCACCCAUUCGAUGGGACCAUUAUAGGCCAACAUAUUAUUUACAGCUCAAAAAUCCUCCUUUUUGGUCAGUAAUCGGUGAAGUGUACAAAUGUAAUUUAGAUACUUGAUUGAGGAAGAGAUUUUGUUAAUUAAGUGUUUUUGUAGAGUGCGUAAUCACUCUGGCUGGCUAUUCAUCAGGAACAAUGUGAUGAUUAGCUCUUGUGGCAUUCGAAGGGCUGCUUAUACACUGGAAAGAAGCAGUGUCUUAUCUUAAAGAAACUAUACAAUAACUACUAAUGAUUUUUCAACCCAUGAGAAUGUUGUGGCAACCUGAAUAAUCAAAUUCCACUUUAAUUUUAACACCUGUAACUAAAUGAUAUGGACACAUACUAUAGCGAGUACGUUAUGAGCCUAUGUAAACCUUUUCAUUUCAGGUGGCGCAAAUGGUGCUAACCCAGUUGCACUAUUUUACAAUCCUUUGCUUCAAAUACCUAUUAACUUCUGCUCCACGGCGCAUACUGCAUUGUCCAGAGAACAGCAACUCAUCUGAACAUUUAAACAGCAUGUGGGAAACCCCUAUAACUUCUAGAAAAGAUGUCAUUUAAGAUUAGUGUUUUCUUAAGUUGCUCUAAUUUCGAUAUGAAGUCUACCUAUUUUUUACUUACUGUAUGAGAAUGGUUCAACCUAAGGUUGAGCAAAGAUGUUUUUUUUUUCUUAGGUUCUUGGACAGCCACUGAACUGGUAAAAUGGGAUAAUGCUAAAGUUUAAUGAUUAAAACCAGCCACUUAUGAGUGGAAAUUAUGAAACCCUUGUGGGCAACCAGCACUUGAGUAUUUCCUCUGAAAUGGACCUGAGGCGAUGGCCUAAGGGGCUGCUGAGAGGGCUGUGUUCCCCAGCAGAUAGAACCAUUCAACCUUGCAUUACAGUAUAGCACCUUUAGACACGGCUGUAGCACUGAAUGGUUUGCCUGCUACCAAGACUGGUACAGUAUGGUGAUACAAAAGCAAUGAGACAUAUCAAUAUCAAAAUCAGGUCUCAUUAUAUGAUGCUUCAAAAAACAAACAUGUACAGUAAAACUGGAACUGCAUGGUCCAUCAGCUUUUUUAAAAGCAUUAUCAUGGUUGAACUCUAUCAAAGGUUAUUGAUGGGAUUAUUGGUUUGGAUUCAAUUUACUAGAAUAAUGGAAUAUAUUUUAAAUCUAUUGGUGUUGGUUACCUGCUUCAGCACUUUAUCACUUCUACGUCAUUUCUCUACAUUAAUGACAACUGUGCUGAUUAAACAGCAUGUAUGGGUCCAAAAUGGCCAAACAUCUCAGGCUGCACCUCUGAGGGGUCUGUAUAAUGCAUCAUAAUAAGACAAUUUUGUCUGAGUGUCCUAUUACGCUACUUUAUAACAAUCCCUUAGGUUCUCUAUUGGACACUAUACAAUGCUAAUGGUAAAGAAGAGAGGCAAUUACUGAUGCAGUACACACUACAAUCGUUAAUUUAUUUUAACAUAUCAUGCAUAAUUACUUGUUUUUAAAGCCUAUUUGGAAAUGCAGACGAACUGUGCAGGCAGCAGUGGAGCACAGUACCUUUGUCCCUGUGACUAACACCACUGUAACACAGACAGAUUGCCCCCUGGAGUGGGUAAGUCUGAAAAUAAUCUGUCUCCCACUUUGUGGAAUUUGCCACAGGGGGAGCAAUGUCAAUGAUACACACAAGCAGCAGGAAUCACUCUUUCACUUCUGUCAAAGAAUUUAGCUCUUGGCUCCUCACAUGAUGAGCAUAGUGCAAAAAUCACUUCACUAUGGCAAAUAAUAGCCAUGAGGAUGGUCAAGAAGGGAUUGUAAGACCACCAGUGGUUACUGUUGACUUAUGACGGACAUGAUUUUAGAUUGCAAUUGAAUUUUGAUGCCCCCUUUGGUAAAAUGCAGGGACUUUCUUGGGAGCAGCUGAGCUUGGAUAAUGCUGUGGUGUCUAGGUCAGUCUACAGUGUUGGGUCAGGCUUUCACUGACACCGUUGUUCUCUAGAAUGGGAAUGCCCUUUAAAAAUAUCAACACUCAGACGUAAUGUUUAAAGUUUGUUUAGUUCAACAUAAUCCAAAGAGCAUUCAGCAGGUCAAAUGGCAAGUCUCAAGUCCUACCUAACUAUAUUCAUUUGUGUUCGUGGUCAACUGGAAAAGUGAUUUUUGUUUACUUGUUUUAUUUACUGCUCCCGAUUCAUGCAGAUUGGCUUUGAGUGUUUGAAUAGUGCUGCUUUUAAUGAAUGGCUGAAGGCAAAGAAGAUGGUGAAAAAUGACCAGUCAAGCGGUGGCUACACUUUUAUAAACAAGCUUGGUUUCAUUUGGUUUCAUCUCUUUAAGCAUCUCAACUCUUGGUACAUACUGUAGCUCGCCUCUUUGAGUAGAAACAUUUUCAGAUAUGGGCACACCAAAGGAUCGUAACCAGCAACUGCAACUUAUUUUAUUUACUAUCAGACUUGUUUAACAAUUAGUUUUAUUGCUUCGUGCUAUGCAUUUUUGCAUCCUCAUCAUUGUCAUGCAGAUGUUCGUGCUUUUACCUUUCAUUUCAUUACCUUCCUUCUUUCCCUUGCAAGUUCAUCGCACUGCAUGUAGCUUACCUUGAACAGAUGUGGCUCAUUUAUAAUCACAUUAUAUGACUUUGACAUAAAAACUGAAUACAUAUAGAUGUCAUGAAUUUUUUUUUGCAAUAUGAAAGCAGUUGUUUGUUUGGAUGUGUCUACAGAUGUGGCCGUGGUCUGUGUUGAGACCUAUAUAAACUUUAAAGCAUUAAAGCAGCAGAUGUGCUCCUCUGGGAGUGUCUGCACAAGGAAGGCAGCUUGGAGUCAUGCCAGUGGGCAGGCUGGAAACAAUGCACAUACAGAGAGGUGGACUGCUUUGUCUAUAAGCGUCAUACCUGUGCAUGCAGUGCAAACAUCCACAAUUUAACUCCUUGUUUUUUAUGGAAUGUAUUAAUAUGGUAUCACAGAAAUUGUGGGUAUUUUACUGAAUUUUUUUUUUUUUUUUAAAU
Molecule: long non-coding RNA, 7231 nt
Organism: Betta splendens (Siamese fighting fish)
Lineage: Eukaryota; Metazoa; Chordata; Actinopteri; Anabantiformes; Osphronemidae
Exons: 3
Source: RefSeq, a predicted model, not a curated record